CCUACGGGAGGCUGCAGUGGGGAAUAUUGGACAAUGGGCGAAAGCCUGAUCCAGCAAUGCCGCGUGAGUGAUGAAGGCCUUAGGGUUGUAAAGCUCUUUUACCAGAGAUGAUAAUGACAGUAUCUGGGGAAUAAGCCCCGGCUAACUCCGUGCCAGCAGCCGCGGUAAUACGGAGGGGGCUAGCGUUGUUCGGAAUUACUGGGCGUAAAGCGCGCGUAGGCGGCUCUUCAAGUCAGAGGUGAAAGCCUGGAGCUCAACUCCAGAACUGCCUUUGA
Molecule: ribosomal RNA, 275 nt
Filed under: uncultured bacterium
Lineage: Bacteria
Description: partial 16S ribosomal RNA
Rfam family: Bacterial small subunit ribosomal RNA
Source: RNAcentral